CUUUCUUUGCUGGCGACCGGCGCACGGGUGAGUAACACGUAUCCAACCUGCCCUUUACUCGGGAUAGCCUUUCGAAAGAAAGAUUAAUACCCGAUAGUAUAAUGAUUCCGCAUGGUUUCAUUAUUAAAGGAUUCCGGUAAAGGAUGGGGAUGCGUUCCAUUAGGUUGUUGGUGAGGUAACGGCUCACCAAGCCUUCGAUGGAUAGGGGUUCUGAGAGGAAGGUCCCCCACAUUGGAACUGAGACACGGUCCAA
Molecule: ribosomal RNA, 253 nt
Filed under: uncultured bacterium
Lineage: Bacteria
Description: partial 16S ribosomal RNA
Rfam family: Bacterial small subunit ribosomal RNA
Source: RNAcentral